AAAUUGAAGAGUUUGAUCAUGGCUCAGAUUGAACGCUGGCGGCAGGCCUAACACAUGCAAGUCGAACGGUAGCACAGAGAGCUUGCUCUCGGGUGACGAGUGGCGGACGGGUGAGUAAUGUCUGGGAAACUGCCUGAUGGAGGGGGAUAACUACUGGAAACGGUAGCUAAUACCGCAUAACGUCGCAAGACCAAAGAGGGGGACCUUCGGGCCUCUUGCCAUCAGAUGUGCCCAGAUGGGAUUAGCUAGUAGGUGGGGUAACGGCUCACCUAGGCGACGAUCCCUAGCUGGUCUGAGAGGAUGACCAGCCACACUGGAACUGAGACACGGUCCAGACUCCUACGGGAGGCAGCAGUGGGGAAUAUUGCACAAUGGGCGCAAGCCUGAUGCAGCCAUGCCGCGUGUAUGAAGAAGGCCUUCGGGUUGUAAAGUACUUUCAGCGGGGAGGAAGGUGUUGUGG
This 460-nucleotide ribosomal RNA is filed under the name Enterobacter cloacae. Its description in RNAcentral is "bacterial SSU rRNA". It matches the Rfam family "Bacterial small subunit ribosomal RNA", at positions 1 to 459 of the family's 1533-position model. Lineage: Bacteria; Pseudomonadati; Pseudomonadota; Gammaproteobacteria; Enterobacterales; Enterobacteriaceae. RNAcentral also lists the same sequence under 2 other names. The record is from RNAcentral.